UUAUAGCUCAGUCGGUAGAACAUGAGACUCUCAAUCUCAGGGUUGUGGGUUCGAGCCCCACAUUCGGCAAAA
Molecule: non-coding RNA, 72 nt
Organism: Podarcis lilfordi (Lilford's wall lizard)
Lineage: Eukaryota; Metazoa; Chordata; Lepidosauria; Squamata; Lacertidae
Source: the annotation of a GenBank genome assembly